This 14405-nucleotide long non-coding RNA is filed under the name Citrus sinensis (sweet orange). Its description in RNAcentral is "long non-coding RNA (CSIN_LNC001331)". Lineage: Eukaryota; Viridiplantae; Streptophyta; Magnoliopsida; Sapindales; Rutaceae. The record is from RNAcentral.
CAGAAUUAGAAGAACAAGGGAAAGCCAUGGUCAAUUAUAGGACUCAAAAUGUAUAAGAUCAUAUAAUAGUGAUGAUCAAUUAAGUGAAUCUGCAUACACAAUAAUAGAUGUUGUGUGUACGUGUGUGUAUCAAGAGUGACAUAUUCUGGCCAAAGUUUAUAUGAAUUUAUUUAUUUAUUUUAGCGUUCUGUGUUCAUGGAUAACUUGGGCUUGCUCAACUUACUUCUGUCACUGAGAGUCCCAGGUCUGCCCUCAUUCCAGACUCAGCAGCUGAUGAAUAUCCAACCUGAAAACAACAAUCAAUCAAUCUAUUGCAGUCAAUGAAAAACUAAUAUUUUGACUAGUGGCUUGUGAUGAAAGUGAUUUCACUCAAAACUGCUCCUGAAAGCCUCCUAUCUUCAAGCAUUUAGAGAUUAAUCUUGCAAGAAAAAUGUAUUGACUUGCUCUGACAGCAAAAAAAACAGCAAUGGAUCUUACAGCACAGCCAUAAGUAAAUGAGCCGCAUAUGGCCACCAAGGUGCUGAAAACAACAGCAGGUGUAGUAGAAAAAUCACUUUCAGACAUGCCCCCGCCAUUACCAAUUUCAUUGGUGAUCAUAGGCGUUGGCUCAAGAAGUGGAGGAUUCGGAAUUAGUCCUUCCUCCAAGCUUUCUGAUGUCUCCAUCAUUAUUUUUCUUGAGCGAAAGAGGGGCAAUGGAAAAAAAGAAGCAUUCGACAACUAUGAAAUAAGAAAUUGGAAUGACAGCUGCAGAAGAAAUCUUUAUAAGCAUUUGAAUUUUUAGUAUAUAUUAUAAUAGAUUAUUUUUUUUUUAUGAUUAGGAUAGUCCACCCGUUUCAUGUAUUUGAUGAUGAAAAUUUUGAUUAAUGCUUAUCUCUAUUCUCUAAAGUCACCAACUAACAACAUAUAUGUUAAUGUUAAACAUAUUGACAUAAGAUCCUAUUCCGUUGGCUUAAAGUAACUGUUGAUUGGUAAUUGAUAAUUGAGCUGCAUUUCAAAACAAGAAUGAAACUUUGAAACAAUCCAAUUUGCUCAAGUUGGUAAGCCACCAUAAUACACUAUUCCACUGUUUGCUGAAAGUGAAAAACAUUUGACAAAUACACACCAUUUAACAUCAAAGUACUGGACCUGUCAUCUAAGCUUACCUAAUACCAAUCACAUGAUUGUAGGUAGGAUAGACAGUUAAAAAUCAAUAAAAAAACUCAAUUUUAUGGUAAUCUACUCAUUUCUUCUUCACAUUUAAGAUCAAGAAACAAAAAAAAGUAACUAGCAUGCAUGAUAACGGUAUGCUACUUACAGAACAGCCAUGAGCAAAUGAACCACAUAUGGCUACCAAGGUGCUAAGAACAACAACGGGUGUAGCUGAAGAAUUGUCACUCUCCGGCAAGCCACUGCGCUCACCAACUUCAUUUGUAAUUUUUAUAGGAUUUGGCUGAGCAAGUGAAGACUUUGCUAUUAGUCCCUCCUCCAAGCUUUCUGGAUUCUCCAUGUCCUAAUUCUUUCACAGGAGCAAGUGAAAGAAAGAACACUGCAUUAUUGGAAUUAUAAAAAAAACAGUUGAAAUGAUGCGACUGCAUAGAGCCCACCUGACAAUUUUUUUUUUUUCAAUAUUAUGAUAAUAGAAAAAAACUUUAAUUUUAAUUUUACUAGGAACAAUAAGCCACUUGACUUUAGGCCCAAUGAUUAAGGUUAUUGUCAUCACAAUUUAAACCCCUCAAAAAAAAAUCAAGAGAUAAUUCUUUUCUUAAUUAUAUUGUAUAAUUGAGUAUAUGGAAAGAAAAUUUACUCUUUAUAAAAUACUAUUUUCAGUAAUUAUCUGAGUCUCACGAAAUAUGAAUUGUGCUCUAACUAAUAACCUCAAGUAAUUAAAAAAAUAUAUAUUGGCUUCCAGCUGAACCAUGUUAACUUACAAGAAUUAAUUAUCCGAAAUAGUUGGUAUUGACCAUUGGCAUGAAAUUAGGCGGGACAUUCAAUUCCUGCUGAAUCCGAAAUCAUGGAGGGCCUUGGUCUCUCUUUGGCUGCAGCAAGUACAUUUGCUCUCUUCCAGUCCCCCUUUUUUGUACGUUGAAAUGUGCACCGCGGCUGUUUCAGGCCCUGCCCAUGUGUUGUAAUCAAUAUAAAAGAGCAAGUACUGAUAAUUUUUCUUAUAUAUAUAUAUAUAUAUAUAUUGUCUCUAGGAACGCGGUCGAGUAAUUUUAAAAAAUACACUCAAGCUUUAUCUAUUCUCUUAUCUUUAAAAAAAAAUGAUAAAAAGAAGAAAUACUAAUUAGUGCGAGUUACAAUGCAGACAUGUUAAUAAACACCAUCCUAAAGCCAAACACUCAUCAUGUGGGUAGUAUCGAUUUUGUAUGGCUUCCCGUCCCACUCUUAUCUUAUGCAGAUUGGACAUAUAUCUUGAAUCAUUAGGCUUUUGAUUGCAACGUAUCAGUAUUUGAAAUAAAUAAAUAAUCAAUGCGGCGUCACUUUCCAUGCAAGCUGUGCAUGUGAAGAGAAAAAGUUUCAACAACAAUCAGUUUUCUGCUUGGUAAGAAAAUAAAAUAAAAAUCUUUGAGUUUCAAUGGUAUGGAAAUGACGGAAAACCCAAGGAAAGGCUAACUGUGAUUUCGGCCCGGUCCACUGGUUGGGCCUAGAUUAACUGACAACUGACGGGGCCCACCAUUUCCCACUAACUCGUGCGGCUAGGAAAAAGCCUCAAAAAUUUUGUUUUUUUUUAAAAUGAUCACUGGACCCUACAAAUUUAUCUUUGGUUUAUAUGACAACAAAGCAAUUGUCAGCGAUUAACAUUAGCCCGGGUGAUAAUACAAAAUAAUAAUAGUAAUAAUAAUAAUAUUUUAUUAAGUAAUAAGAAUAUAAAGUACACAAAUAAUAUUAAUCUAUUAUUAUUAAAAAAAUUUAACAGAUAUUAUAAUCCAGUACCGUUUUAAACUUAGUACAUUUUAGUCCAGUACAGUCUAAUCCGGGGCGUCACACCAAGCACAUCCUGUGAGGGGAGUUUACACUUGCAGUCCAACCAAACCAGGUUAUUAUUACACUUGCAGUGGAGUGAUUUUGAUUUAUCUCCCAGAAAGCUUUGUAAUUGAUGCUUGUAUUUCUUCAAGUGUUCGUCCCUUGGUCGCCGGCACCAGGAAUGUAACAAACGCAACACCUGCGGCGCAUAUGACCCAGAAUAUAGAAAAUGUUCCUGCCAGAGUAGCCAACACAGAAGACAGAGGAUUGCGAAAUGGAAAAUGUAUAAGCAUGGGGGAUUAUCGGAUACCUGUUUUGCUCCAUUCCAUCAUGAAAUGGAAUGUGAAUGUAACAGCCCAGUUACAAUUCUAAGACACUCCAAUUAUUCACGUUUAUAGUGUAGCUAAUGAACAUGUCUAAAUACACGCCAUCAAGAAAAGGAACUGAAAAAGAGAGAGAUAAAACAACACUAAAAACAUGAUGAUAAUAAUGGUACAUACAGAUCAACCAUAAGCAAAUGAACCACGUACGGCCACCAAAGCGCCGAGAACAACAGCAGGUGUGGCUGAAGAAUCACUUUCUUGCAUGCCACUGCCAUCACCAAUUUCAUCAGCAAGUGAAGAACUUGGAAUUAGUCUUUCCUCCAACUUCAACCUUUCUUCUGGUCUCUCCAUGAUGAUUAAUUUCUUCAAGGGAAAGCAAGGCAAAUGAACGAAGCAAGCGCAUGACAACUACUGCAACUGCCCGAAAAAAUUAUUUAUGCCCUUUUGCGACAGGCAGGAAAUCGUGGCAAUGCUUUGACUUGCCAACAUGGCCCGUGAGUGCUCUGAUAGACGUACCCUUGAAUAAAGGCCAAUUCACAGGUCAUGCACUAGAGUACUAAACUGGGUCACACUAAAGACGUCAAAUAUAUUAGGAGAUGCAGAGGAUUCGAGUCGCACUAAAGCAGUGAAAGUGAAAUAUAUUAUGAGUUAUUGAGAACUUCGAAGCAGGUGACCACUCUCACAAAGGUUGGCGUCCAUUUUCUUGACCUGAUCCUUUUAACUUCUUAUUAUUUAUGUGUAUGUCUGGAUAAUUUCCAACUAAUUCCACAACAAAAUGAUAAUUAUCAUAAACUGAGAUGUUUCUGUAGCCAUGAUGCGCCAUACAUGCGCAACAAAUACUCAAUAAAUUAUCAAACUUAUUCUGCACAUUUUCCCACUCUUAUCGACUUUCUUCUUCUUCUCCCAGCUACUUUAUUCUUCAUCUUUCAAUCCUUGUCUCUCAACUUUUUAAGGUCUUAGCCAUUUUCUCAUUUUUGUAAUAAUUCAGCUCCAAGAUCAUAUACACCAUUUUAUUAAGGCAUUUAUAUGUGCAUGGUUUUGGACAAAUGUGGAGUUCUGUUAUAAAAUUUAUUAAUACUUUGUAAUUGAUACUUGAAUUUCUUCGAGUGUCGUCCCUUGGUCUCCGGCACCAGAAAUGCAACGAACAGGACAGCGGCAGCGCAAAUGACCCAGAAUAUAGAAAAUGUUCCUGCCAUAGCAGCCAACACAGACUUGUAAUUAGAGAGCAAGAUAAAGAGGAUUGAGAAGUGGAAAAUAGUACGAGCAUAUAUGGUGGGGGGUUUCAGGUGCCUGUUCUGCUCCAUUCCAUCGUGAAAUGGAAAGUGUAUGUAACUAUCCAAUUGCUGCAGUUGUGGAGUAAAAUCACCAGGCUUCCUGCUGAACCUUUGAUGUUUAUUGGAAAUAUCUGAAAAAUGGAAGUUCAAUGGCUUAUUUAUCGACUCCUGAUAAGACAUUCAUGAAAAGAAGUAGAGCUAGAUCAUGUAGUCAUAUACCUCAGCCAUUAUGACACUUGGUAGUCCCGCCAUGCCUAAUGCAAAAGCUAUGCUAAACCCCUGAUCAUAUAUUUUGCCAUAUGUUGCUCCAAUUAGGCAGACGAUACAAUUGGGAAAAAAAAUCUUUACAGAGAAAGAACACUUCGAUGUUAGCUCACAACAUUUAGAGACUAUUACCAUUAUGCCAACAUACACAAGGACUGGAGUAGCCUCAUUCCAAAGAUGGGUGUCCUGCACAUAAGUUUUUUAAGCAAUGAUCAUUAAUAUGUCAAACAGAAUUGAGAACUAGUGAAGAAGUGCAUAAAUUUUGUAAUAGAAGAACCUGCAGGCCAAAUGCCAAAGCUAUAAUAGUGAGACUUAAGCCCAUCCAGAUAGUAGAAGCCUGCAAAAAUAUGAACAUUUAUAUAUCCUGAAUAACUAAUUUUUGGAUAAACUUAAUUCUCUUAUAUGUGCAAACCAAAAGAAGUGGUCUUCUACCAAAUCUAUCUGUCAGGAGUACGGACGCGCCAAUAGCCGGAAGCUGUAAAAGAAAUUGUAUGUUCCUGAGUAUUUCAAAUGGAAAAAUCUCACGUUUGAUUGAUGGUCAAUUACCUGAAUGAUAGCCAUUGAUAUACUCCCAAUGUCCGUCGAAAGAUCUGUUACAAACAAAAGAUUCAUACUGUCAUAUUCUUGGAUAUUCAGAAGUUCUAUGAAAUAGUACAAAAUGUUGUUUAUUUACCAGCUGCUGCAAUUAUGUAGCUAGCAUAAUAUGCAAUUGCAGCUGAUCCUACAAAUGGUUGCAUUACCAUUAAUCCAACUCCAACCUAAACCACUUAAAUAGGACAGAUGAUAUAUGACGAGAUUACAAAUAUAUAAAAAAAUAUAUAUAUACAACUAUUAAGGACUCACUGAGAGUGAAUAAGCAUAUCUCCGCUGAAACAGGUCAAAAAUCCCAGCUUUCGAGUCCUUCUCAAAUGUCUGCGUGCAAUCCUGUACAAUAUGGGAUGCUCAUUGGUUGUUUUGUGCAAGAGAUGUACAGCUGUUUCAUGUGUUUUGUAAUUACUGAGUAGUCAAAUAUUAGAGUUGGAAUUUUACUCUGAUGUCAGCAGAUUCCAUAGAAAUAUCUGCAGUCUUUCCCCUAAGGCACUGUAGAGUAGUUUCUAGCUCUUUUUCUUUACCUAUCUUUGCCUGCAAAGAGAAAUACACAUUUAACUUUAAUACGCUCUUAGUUCACAAGCAUAGUAGCAAGAACUUAAACAAAAAGCUAGGGACUCCAGUCUCUGUUUUUUGCAAAAUUAAAUUCCACCAGGAAAAAAGUUUAUGGACAUUUGACUUGGACUAACCAGCCAUCUUGGUGACUCUGGAAUGAAGAACAAACCAACAACUUGCAACAGACAUGGAACAGCAGCUGAAAAUUAAAUGAAAAAGAAACAUCAGAAAUCUUGAAGGGCUUAGCAAUUAAGCAAAUGAAAUCAAAAGCAGGGCAAGCUGAAGCUACCAAUUAGAGCCAGGGCUCGCCAGGAAACAAUAGUACCCACCAAAUACAUUACUGACAUACCAGACACAAUCAAGAACUGCAGAAUUGAUGACAAAGUAAACACUCAUUAAAUAUAAGUUAGACAAGUAAUAUAAUCAUUAUAAUUAACAUAUAUAUACCUGACUAGUAGCUGUAAAUGCUCCCCGGAUGUUUUUGGGUGUUAUUUCCGCAAUAUAUAUAGGUAUCUGUCUUGGAACAAUGAUGCAAAUGCUGUGACAUGCCUCACAUGUGAAUUAAGCAACCAUGAAAUUGUUCAUGUCACUUACCACAUAAGCAAUAAGCGCAAGUCCAAUCCCAAUAGAACAGCGUCCAAGAUAUAGGGACCAAGCAUCCCAUCAACAAGUACACAAGUAAAUUAUAGCCUAUUGACAUACCAUUUUAAUAGUAGAUAGAGGUAGACAUGCAACUUGAACCCCGAAAAGGACAAUUGAAUUCCAAAUAAGAUUCUAAGUAUGGUUUUCAUGCAGGCAGCCAAAUCAAGCAUGACUGUGAUGAAAAAGAGAAGCUAAAGGAAAAAGACCUUUGAGAAUGCAAUUGCCAGCCACCCAACUAUACAGAAUAACUCAGAUAGCCACAUUGCCUGUUGCACUUGCAGUUAAUUAAAUACUAUUGACAACAGUAAAAGAAAUUUCAUACUAUUCAUUGAGACAUAAAGCGGACGAUUGAAUGACUUACACCUCUUCGACCAGUGGGGUCUGCUAUUUUCCCAUUUACUAGUGAACCUAUUAUUCCUCCAAAUGUCAAUACUGAACCAAAAACUGAGUACUGCAGAAUGAGAAGAAUAAGGGAAAGCCAUGGUCAAUAAUAGGACUCAAAAUGUAUAAGAUCAUAUAAUAGUAAUGAUCAGUUAAGUGAAUCUGCAUACAUAAUAGUAGAUGUUGUCUGUACACGUGUGUAUCAAAAGUGACAUAUUCUGGCCAAUGUUUAUAUGAAUUUAUUUGUUUAUUUUAACGUUCUGUGUUCAUGGAUAACUUGGGCUUCGUCAACUUACUUCUGUCACUGAAAGUCCCAGGUCUGCCCUCAUUCCAGACUCAGCAGGUGAUGAAUAUCCAACCUGAAAACAAUAAUCAAUCAAUCUAUUGCAGUCAAUGAAAAGCUAAAAUUUUGACUAGUAGCUUAAUAUGAAAGUGAUUUCACUCAAAACUGCUUCCUGAAUGCCCGCUAUCUUCAAGCAUUUAGAGACUAAUCUUGCAAGAAAAUUGUAUUCAUUUACUCUCACAGCAACAAAACAACAAUGGAUCUUACAGCACAGCCGUAAGUAAAUGAGCUGCAAAUGGCCACCAAGGUGCUGAAAACAACAGCAGGCGUAGUAGAAGGAUCACUUUCGUACAUGCCACUGCCAUUACCAAUUUCAUUGGUGAUCAUAGGCCUCUCAAGAAGUGGAGGAUUCGGAAUUAGUCCUUCCUCCAAGCUUUCUGAUGUCUCCAUGAUUAUUCUUCUUGAACGAAAGAGAGGCAAUGGAAAAAGAGAAGAGUUUGACAAUUAUGAAAUAAGAAAUUGGAAUGACAACUGCAGAAGAAAUCUUUAUACCCAUUUGAAUUUUUAGUAGAUAUUAUAAUAGAUUAUUUUUCUGAUUAGAAUAAUCCACCUGUCUCAUGCAUUUGAUGGUGAAAGUUUUAAUUAAUGCCAAUCUCUAAAGUCACCUACUAACAAGUAUUAUACUAACAUAUGUAUAUAAUCCACCUGUUUCGUGCAUUUGAUGGUGAAAGUUUUAAUUAAUGCCAAUCUCUAAAGUCACCUACUAACCAGUAUUAUACUAACAUAUGUACAUAAGAUCCUAUUCUGUUGUCUUAAAGUAACUAUUGAUUAAGCUGCCUUUCAAAACAAGAAUGAAACUUUGAAACAAUCCAAUUCGCUCAAGUUGGUGAGUCACCAUUAUACACUAAUCCAUUGUUUGCUGAAAAUGAAGAACAUUUGAUAAAUACACACCAUCUAACAUGAAAUUCCUGGACCAGUCAUGUAAGCUUACCUAAUACCAACCACAUGAUUGAGGUAGGAUAGAAAAUUAUAAAUCAAUUAAAAACUCAAUUUUACUCUAAUUUGCUCAUUUCUGCUUCACAUUUACGAUCAAGAAACAAAAAAAAGUAACUAGCGUGCGUGAUAACGGUAUGCUACUUACAGAACAGCCAUAAGCAAAUGAACCGCAAAUGGCUACCAAGGUGCUAAGAACAACAACGGGUGUAGCUGCUGAAGAAUUAUCACUCUCUGGGAAGCCACUGCGCUCACCAACUUCAUUUGUAACUAUUACAGGAUUUGACUGAGCAAGUGAAGACUUUGCUAUCAGUCCCUCCUCCAAGCUUUCUGGAUUCUCCAUGUCCUAUUUCUUUCACAGGAGCAAGUGAAAGAAACAAAUCUUUGUGUAGCCACUGCAUUACUGCACUAGUGAGUUUAAAAAAAAAAAAAAAGGUUGAAAUGAUGCAACUGAAUAGAGCGCACUUGACUUUUUCGUUUUUCAAAUAAAUAUUACGAUAAUAGAAAAAGCAUAUCUGUAAACUUUAAUUUUAGUGGGGCAAGUGUGCUAACUAUUGGAAUCUUGAGGGGUAAUUCUUUGCUCAAUUAUAUUAUAUAAUGGUUUUUGUUAUGUAAUGGAAUUUUGAGGGGUAAUUAUAUUACAUAUAUAAUUAUGUAACAGUAGUUAGAUUUUAUCUAAUGACGGUAAAAAUAAUAUAAUUUUAUUAUCUUAAAUUUUCAUAAUCGUUAGAGAAAAAUUUAACGGAUAUUAUAUAAUUAUGUAUAUUACAUAAUUAUAUAAAAUAAUAAUCUUCUUAUAUAAUUGAGUUUUCUCUUAUGAAAUACGUCUUAUUGUCUGAAUUUCAUGUAUUAUAAGUUGUACACUAAAUAACAAUCUCGUGUAAUUUAAAAAAAAAAAAAAAAUUGUGGCAAUAUUGGACAAUCUAAUAGAACAAAUAUUGGCUUCCAGCUGAACGAUGGUAUUGGGCAUUGACAUGAAAUCGGGCAGGAUAUUCAAUUCCUGCUGAAUACUAAAUGACUAGGCCCAUUGUUUUCCACUAACUGCACCCAUCGCUCUUUCAGCUUCUCGGGAAAAAGCCACGCACCGCUCGUGCGGUUAGGCAAAAGCCUCCAUUUUUUUUUUUUUUUUUCACUAACGAUCAUUGGACCCUACGAAUACAAAUUUAUCUUUGGUUUAUAUGACUUGGAAUCAAUAAUGUUUCAAAUUAUUUUACGGUGCGUAGAUUGUCAGUUCACUACGCGUACAAUAAUGUUUGAUUAUUAAUUUAUAGUCGGAAUAGUCAUCACUUGUUGAAUUUGGAAUCAAGCAAGACUUGGGCCUCUCCGCGGCAGCAGUAAGUGUUCUUCACUUUUAUGUACUCAGAAGCAGUGUAGUAUUAGUCAAAUUGUUCAUAAACGCUAAAAAUAUGCUGAAUAAUUAAAGGAAAAAAUAUAUAUACAUAGAUAUAAUUUUAUUAAUUAAUAAGAAUAGAAAAUACACAAAUAAUAUUAAUCUAUUGCUAUUAAAAUUUUUAAUAGAGAAUAUAAUCCAGUACCGUAUUAAACUUAAUACAUUUUAGUCCAAUACAGUCUAAUCCACUGCGUAGCACCAAGCACAUCCUAUGAGCAGAAUUUACUCCAGUGAUGUACAGCAGUCCAAUCAAACCAGGUUAUUAUUACACUUGCAGUAGAGUGAUGUUGAUUUACCGCCGAGAAAGCUUUGUAAUUGAUGCUUGUAUUUCUUCAAGUGUUCGUCCCUUGGUCUCCGGCACCAGGAAUGUAACAAACGCAACACCUGCGGCGCAUAUGACCCAGAAUAUAGAAAAUGUUCCUGCCAGAGCAGCCAACACAGGCUUGUAACUAGAGAGCAACACAGAAGAAAGAGGAUUGCGAAAUGGAAAAUGUAUAAGCAUCAGGGGUAUCAGGUACCUGUUUUGCUCCAUUCCAUCAUGAAAUGGAAUGUGAAUGUAAUGGUCCAAUUGAUGCAGUGGUGGAUGAAAAUCACCAGGCUUCCUGCUAAACCUUUCAUGUUUAUGGGAAAUAUCUGAAAAUGGAAGUUCAAUGGCUCAUGUAUCGACUCUGGUUGAGAUAUUCAUGAAAAGAUGUAGAGCUAGAUCACGUAGUCAUAUACCUCUGCCAUUACGACACCUGGUAAUCCUGACAAGCCUAUUGAGUAACCUACACUAAACCCCUGAUUGCAGAUUCAGUGUCAAUUAGUCACAUUUUGCUCCAUAUUGAUAGACAAAACAAUAAAAAAGAAUCUUUACAGCAAACCCUCUAAUGUAAGUAAGCUCUCAUAACAUACAGAGACAAGUUUCCCUUUUCUACAUCGAUUAUAUUACCAUUAUGCCAACGUACACCAGCACUGAAGUAACCUCAUUCCAACGAUGUGUGCCCUGCACAUAAAAAUUUUAAGCAAUAAUCAUAAAUAUGUCCAAACAGAAUUGCAAAUUAGAAUUGCAGAAGUGUAAAAAUUUUGUUCCAGAAGAACCUGCAAGCCGAAUGCCGUAGCUAUAAUAGCGAGACUUAAGCACAUCACAAUUGUAGAAGCCUGCAAAUAGAUGAAUUUGUAUAAGCAUAAAUUAGCCACAUAAAUUAGCCAACCUUCUGCAUUAAUAAUUUUGGGGUGAAUAUGUUUUUUUGAAAUGUUUACCAAAAGAAGUGGUCUUCUUCCAAAUCUAUCAGUCAGGAGCACCGAUGCACCAAUAACCGGAAGCUGUAAAACAAAUUGUAUGUUCCUGAGUAUUUCAAAUGGAAAAAUCCCAUGUUUGAUUGAUGGUCAAUUACCUGAAUGAUAGCCAAGGAUAUACUCCCAAUUUUUGUUGAAAAAUCUAUUACAAACAGAAGAUUCAUACUGUUAUUUCCUUUAAAAUCCAUGAGUUCUAUGAAGUAGCGCAAAAUGUUGUUGUUUACCUGCUUCUGAAAAUAUGUAGCUGGCAUAGUAUUGAAUUGCAGUUGCUCCUAACAAUGGUUGCAUUGCUGAUAAUCCAACUCCAACCUAAACCAAUUAAACAAUCUAAUAUAAAAAUCAUAGAACUGGCAAUUAACGAGAUCACAAAAGUAUUAAUACGAGUAUUAAAGACUCACUACGAGUGGAUAAGCAUAUUUUCGCUGAAAGAGGUAAAAAAUUCCAACUUUUGAGUCCAUCUCAAAGGUCUGUGUAUAUUCCUGUACAAUAAUAAUGGAAUGCUCAUUCCUUGUAUUGUGCCAUUGGUAUAAAGUUAUUUUCAUGUAUUUUCUUUUUAUUGGAUAGUCAAACAUUAGAGUUAAAAGUUUUACUCUGAUGUGAGCAGAUUCCAUUGAAAUAUCCGCAUUCUUUCCCCUAAGGCGCUGUAGAGUAGUUUCUAGCUCUUUUUCUCUACCAACCUUUGCCUGCAAAGAGAAUUACACAUUAACUUUAAUAUGCUCUUAAUUCACAAGCAUAGUAACAAGAGCUUAAACAAAAAGCUAGGGACUCCAGUUUCUGCUUUUUGCAAAAUUAAAUUCCACCAGGAAAAAAGUUUAUGGACUUGGACUAACCAGCCAUCUUGGAGACUCGGGAAUGAAGAACAAACCAAUAAUUUGCAACAGACAUGGAACAGCAGCUGAAAAUCAAAUAAAAAAGAAACAUCAGGAACUUAAAGGGUUAGCAAUUAAGCAAAUGAAAUCAAUUGAAUGGGAAGCAGAAGCUACCAAUUAGAGCCAAGGCUCGCCAGGAAACAACAGUACCCACUAAGUACAUUACUGAAAGACCAGAAGUAAGCAAGAACUGCAGAGUUGAUGACAAAGUAAAUGCUCAUUAAUAAUAAGUUAAACAAGCAAUGUAAUCAUCAUAAGUUACAUAGAUAUACCUGAAAAGCUGCUGUAAAUGCUCCCCGGAUGUUCUUCGGUGUUAUUUCUGCGAUAUAUACAGGUAUCUGUCUUGCAACAAUUAUGCAAAUGCUGUCAGAUGCCUUACACAUGAAUUCAGCAACCACGAAAUUGUUCACAUCACUUACCACAUAAGCCAUAAGUACAAGUCCAAUCCCAAGUGAAAAUCGUCCAAGAUAAAGUGACCAAGCAUGCUGUCAACAAGUACUGAAGUAAGUUACAGCCUAUCGACAUACCAUUUUACAAGUAGAUAUAGCUAGAUAUGCAACUUGAACCCAAAAGGAACAAUUUAAUUCCAAAUAAAAUUCUAAGUACAGUUUUCAUGUAGGCAGCCAACCAAACAUGACUGUGACGACACUGAGAAGCUAAAGGAAAAAAACCUUGGAGAAUGCUACUGCCAGCCACCCAACAAUACAGAAUAACUCCGAUAGCCACAUAGUCUGUUGCACUUGCAGUUAAUUGAAACACUAUUAAUAAAGGUAGAAGAAAAAUCAUACUAUUCAAAAUUUUGAAAAUUCAUACUAUCCAUUGAGACAUUAUGCAGAAGAUUGAAUGACUUACACGUCUUCGACCAACGAGGUCUGCUAUUUUCCCAUUUACUAAUGACCCUAUUAUUCCUCCGACUGUCAAUACAGAGCCAAAUACUGAAUACUGCAGAAUGAGAAGAAUAACGGAAAGAUAUGGUCAAUUUUAGGAAUCAAAAUAUAUAAGAUCAUAGAAUAGAAAUGAUCAAUUAAGUUAACCUGCAUAAACAUUGAUAGAUGUUGUGUGUGCGUGUGUGCAUGUGCCUGUGUGCAUCAAGAGUGACAAAUUCUUGCCAAAGUUUAUAUGAUUUUAUUUAGGGAAAAUAUCCACCGCCCACCAGAUUUUGUCCACUUUUUCAAAAAUACACAAAUCUUAAUUUUUUUAGCUGCACUCCACCUAAAGUAAGGUUUUCUUGCAUCCAUCCACCUCCGUUUGCACGCGGUUAAGAGAACUAACGGAAAAUUGAUCAAAUGACUAUUUUACCCCAAAUAUAAAACUAUAAUUUUGCCCUAAAUAAAUGCAAAAAAAAAAAAAAUUAAGAAAAUCCUGGGAGUGUGAAAUCACCACCAAGAUGCGGUCAAAUUUCUUCAAGGUCUCUUCCAGCCAAACGCAAGCUUCUAGAUCUAGAUGAUUUGUGGGCUAAUCGAGCAACAGAAUGGUUGGGUUAAUAAAGAGUGCACGCGCCAAUGCAAUCCUCAUUCUCCAACCACCAAAGAAAUCACGCGUUUUCUUAGCUUGCAUAGUCUUGUUAAAACCAAGACCGUCGCCUUCAGGUGCUGCUUGAAGUCCAUAAUGUCACCCUCCCACCGGGUAACAGCUUGAUUUUCACACACCCAUAUUUCAUGGGCUACCUGGUUUAUGAGCCUGAAAUCGUGGCUGACGAGAACCAUACCCCCAUCCCACUCAUUCAAUGCCUCAGCAAGCGAGUCGAUUGUCUCAAUAUCCAGAUGAUUAGUUGGUUCAUCCAAGAGACCUGCGCUUUUAUUUUGUUGUGUGUAAUAAAGUCAACGUUCUUACCUUUAUUUGCAAUUAGAUUGAUAUCACCAUUUUCUUCACAUUACAUUACAUCAUUACCAUGCCAAGAAAGAGCAAUAUCCCCAAAACCGUUUGCAACUCCUUCCAAUCACCCUCCUCAAACUCUGACAGCAAGCCCCACAGCCAUUAUUAUCCACCGCUUUCACUCCACCAUAAACAUUUCAGUAGCAAUCUCCAUCGAAAUUUCAACAGGCAACACCAUUUUCCUAGAUUCCCUAGUCCAACAAUAUCUCCUUUUCCUUUCUUCACUAUGCACCCAACCUCUCACCAAUCUCCUUCAGUUUCUUUGUCGCCAAUAGCUUGAUCUCAAUCGAUGAUCGUGCCACCAGCGGCUCGAGCCUGAAGAUCGACCAUCCAUCACCGACCUCCUGUGGCUAGCUACGACUUCUUCAGUUAUUAGAUUGAGUUUGGGAUAAGGUUUCGGCCAGCCACUUUUUUUUUUUUUGCAUUUAUUUAGGGCAAAAUUAUAGUUUUAUAUUUGGGGUAAAAUAGUCAUUUGAUCAAUUUUCCGUUAGUUCUCUUAACCGCGUGCAAACGGAGGUGGAUGGAUGCAAGAAAACCUUACUUUAGGUGGAGUGCAGCUAAAAAAAUUAGGAUUUGUGUAUUUUUAAAAAAGUGGAUAAAAUCAGGUGGACGGUGGAUAUUUUCCCUUUUAUUUAUUUAUUUCUAGAUUCUGCAUUCAUGGACAACUUGGGCUUGGUCAACUUACUUGUGUCACAGACAGUCGCAGGUCUGCCCUCAUUCCAGACUCAGCAGGUGAUGAAUAUCCAA